Long non-coding RNA from Panthera uncia (snow leopard), 766 nucleotides. RefSeq lists it as uncharacterized. The transcript is spliced from 2 exons. The record is from RefSeq and is a predicted model, not a curated record. NCBI's taxonomy places the organism in Eukaryota, Metazoa, Chordata, Mammalia, Carnivora, Felidae.
GGGAGGGGAACCGGGCCGCAGACUCUUCAGGCUCGGGGAGGGAUAGUGAGCAGGGGCCUGGCUGGACGGAGGGCCAGAUUCCGGGAAUGGAGGAGCACAAUCGGGGGCGUACUGAAGUGUAGACGUGGGCGGGGGCGCCGAGGGACAAACAUAGGGAGGGGCAUUGAGGGGGUACCUGACGAGGAUAGAGGUUCUGUCAUGAGAAGGUAAAAACCGCAGGACCAGGGCCAGAGGACCCGCAGACCGAUGGGAGAUAGGGUGGAUGAAACAGCACAGAAAGCCAGGCAUGGCGGGAAAGACUGAGGGACAAGCCGGUACAGAUACGUGGAAAGACGUGCAGAGGAGAUGAUGGGGGUCUGAUGGCGGGUAUUGCAAGGGCUGAGGACAAAGGUGGAGCCAACUACUGGGCACCCAGCGUGGACCACCAUGGGCCCACAGUACAUAUGUCGGUAUGCAUUUGUUGUCUCGAUGACCAAGCCCUGGGAUUCUGCAGCUGUAAAGAAACCAUAGCAGGGACUUUUCCCAGAAUGUGGACUCCAGCCUCAUGAGGACUCCAGACCCCAGGAUUCCAGCCUCAGCAUCCCAGGCUGAGAGGCCAAUGCUGGGGGCGGGGGUGUUUAGCUCUAGCUCCAGCGAAAGCAGACCCACCAUCCCCUUCUUCCCAUCCCCAGGCAGGAGCUGGCAGGAGAUCAGAUGCUACUUCAAUUCCAAGUGGCUCAUGAACAAAAGCUGUGAAGUUGCUAAGAAACCUGCUUCUCUGAGGGUU